Molecule: long non-coding RNA, 6242 nt
Filed under: Zostera marina
Lineage: Eukaryota; Viridiplantae; Streptophyta; Magnoliopsida; Alismatales; Zosteraceae
Description: long non-coding RNA (ZMAR_LNC005990)
Source: RNAcentral
UAGAAAUUGAAAAUGAAUUUUGAAAAAAUGAUUUGAUUUUGAAAAUUGAAAAAGGAAGAUGAUAAAACUGGAAUUGAACAAGGUCUGAAAUGAUACCUGAGAAAUGAGAACAGAAAACACAAAAUUACCGAAUUGAAACAGGAAAGAAAUCCAAGCACUGAGAACGAUUCAGAAGAGAGAGAAAUUGAAACUCACAAAUGGAAAAUAUUUUUCCGGUGAUUUCUAAACUGCCUGUCCCACUCCUUAUAUACCUUUUUAAUCUGUUAUAUUUGUUUUCAAUUUAAUUGGAUCCAUUGUUUUCAGGUAUCGGAUCCAGGUCGGGUAAUCCAAAUUUUAAAUAUUCUGAAUUAGGCGGUUCAACCUUCAAUUGGGUGACUGCUGCUCCUUCAUGUUUCACAUCCUCCCUCAAAUCUGGAGGGAUUCUUCCCGCAAGAUUUGAAUUAGGCGGCUCUGAUGGUGGCGACUGCACUGGGACUAGCUUGUGGCGAUGUCGCGGGAAGGCAUCGGUACCUAGUACCUUGAUGAAUCCAUCCGCGGGCUGCAAGCUUGUAGGUACAUAUUCGAUCUUAAGUACCCAUUUGUUUAUUAAUUCUCUUACAAAGUAGUAUGAUAUUUCCAUAUGUCUUGAGCGUGAUGUAAUUGUAGGAUUUUUGGCCAUGAAUAUUGCGGAUCGGCUAUCACAUAGUAGAGUUGGGGGUGAUAAUAGUUUGAUCCCCAAUUCUCUAAAUAAAUAACAAUACCAUCUAACCUCUGAUGUAACACGGGCCAUGGCCUUGAAUUCUGCCUCUGAACUUGAGUUCGAGACUGUCGGUUGCUUUUUAGCAGACCAUAACAGUAGGUUAUUUCCAUACCAAACACUUAUCCAGUGAUGGAUCUUCUGUCUGGUGAUCCUCCCCAAUCAGUCUUUAUAGGCUAUUAGAUUCAUGGUAUCCCCUGAUCCUUUAGUUCUCAAUCCCAAGCUUGUUGUCCCUUGCAAAUAUCUGAAAAUCCUAUUAACUGCCAAUAAGUGCCCUUCUUUAGGAUUUUAGAGAAACUGACACACCUGAUUGAUUGCAAAGAAUAGAUCAGGUCUAGUGAGGGACAGAUACUACAAACUCCCAACUAUACUUUUAUAUCCUGUGAUAUCUUCCAAAGGGUCCCCCAUAUCAUGAUGUAAUUUUGUUGAUAAGGUCAUAGGUGUUCUUACUGAAUUUUACUAAUUAUAGCCAAACCUUUUCAAUAUUUCUCUCACAUGAUUCUCCUGGGACAACACCACAUUCUCACCUUGAUAUAUGCACUGAAUACCUAAGAAAAAACUGAGCUUAUGUGGGGACCAAGGUGGUUUUGGAUAGAUAUUGGAUUAUAUAUUUACACUGGAUUUCUGGUGCGGUUCGCCGCACCGGAAACCCAGUGCGGUAGUGUCCUCGAUGACGAGUGAAUCCAAUCCUACGGCAUGGAGGACAAACCACACGUCCUCCAUGCCGCGAACUUCAUCGGGCGCGUUCGCCUCCAUACCGCGAACUUCAUCGGACGCGUUCGCCUCCAUGCCACGAACUUCAUCGGGGCGCGUUCGCCUCCAUGCCGCGAACUUUGGGUGGUUGGAUCUCCCCGCCGCACCAAACCGCACCAAAAGCGGAUCCUAUAUAUUUAUUACUUUAAAUGGGAGGGUGCAAACAAUAGAGUAUUGUUCGUAAUCUUUACACAACUUGAUUAGCCCAGUUGGUCACAAACACUUUAAUUUCUAUUUACUUUUGUACCACGUACCUUAUCAAAAGAAAAGUAUUGUUCGCAAUCUGGUUGAAAAGUGAUGUAGCACAUUCGUUAAUGGCACUAGGAAAGAGGCUAUUUCCUUUAAAUCAAACAUGGACCAAAUCAGACCUACUGUGGAUUCGCAUUUUUGGAAAGCUUUUGUUUCAGAAAGAAACCUAGUGGAUAAAUGUUUGGAUUGUAGAGCGAAUAGUACGAUUAUGUGGAGAUCUGGUAGUCCGAUAAAUAAAUUGGGGGGAAUAGUGGAAAGUAUUAGAGAUAGAAAGCAUAAAGACAUGUUAGCUGAGGGAAUUUAGUCGAAGAUGCCGACAAAAUUCUCUAUUCUCUUGUGGAGGGUGAAAUGGGAUCAUCUAAACACGUUCAGGAAAUUAAGAAAUUGGAGAGUACAAGUACCUCCUGCUUGCUUAUUGUGUAAUCUGGAAGAUGAAACUAGGAGUCAUCUUUUCUUUAACUGUUCUUAUUCCAGAUCUCUCUUAAUUUCGUUGGCGGAACAGCUGGAUUUCGCUUUCUGGAAGAUAAUGAAUAUUCCAAUUCCUACCCAAUCAAGUCCAGAUAUUAGAUUGGGGGAUCUGACGGAAGCAGCACAAAAGAUUACGCGCCACUCCCCCCCUUGGGGGUUAAUAUGGAAUGCUAUUGGGUGCUUGUCGUGGCAUAUAUGGACGGAAAGAAAUAAAAGGUAUAGGCAGCACAUUAGUAGACCUCCUGAGGUAGUCCUUAAGGAGGUCAUUAAAGACAUCAGUCUCUCCUUUGAUUCAGUGUAUUACAAGAAGAGAUGUUGUCACCCUUUGGAGAUAUCUAUGAUGGAAGUAUGGGAGACCAACCUUCUGAGGCAGCGUAUCUAGUUACUGUAUAACUAGACUACAUAGCUAAUGGGAGAGAGUCAAUGAGCAUUUUGCUCAUUUCUUUUUUUACUUCUAUUUUAUUCCUAUUCUCUAUUUUGUAAACUUGGCAUUAGCCUUAUUCUAAUGAAAUUUAAUUGCUUCAAAAAAAAAAAAAAAAAAAAAAAACAUGGACCAAAAGCCUAUUUCCUUUAACAAAGGCCCAUCAUUACAUGGAGAGUAUAUAUAUGGAGGAUAGAGGAUGGAAUCGGCAGUUUUUGAUUUAUUUGCUUAAUUUGUUAUUUCCUGGACAGGUCUUUUCCCUCAGUGUUUUCCCUCAGUCUUUUCCCACACAGUCUUUUCUCUUGUAUUUUCUGGUGGAUUUCCAGAAUCAUUGGUGGAUUCCAGUGUUUUUCCCUCAGCUUAUGUGGAUUCAGAAGAUUUAUCAAACAAUUGAUCUUCACUAAGAUCAGCUGGCAUCAAAAAAUCUUUUUGUGUUUUUGAUGAGGGAGGGAACCUCGCCAGUGUUUUGUAAAUUAGUUUCAUUAGGAUUAGUAUUCAUUUCUUAUCACUUGAUUUUUUUGGGUUGCUUGGUUGUUGUAAUUUGUAAAUACUAUUUAUAUUAUAUCUAAUUGAAAUGUAAAAAUUUAUUAUACUCACUUUGAUUGCUUAAAUGAAUCAGUUUAAUCUAGAAAAAUCCUAGAGUAUCAAGAUAUUGAAAAUGAGAUAUUCAAUCUUAGAAAUCAACCAAAACAUUAUAUAUCUUCUCAAUUAGAAAUCUUCUCAAUUAAAAAUAAUAUUUGAAUUUGGAUCCAUAUUUAAGGGAAAAUCUAUUGUAAUCUAAGAAAGUAAUGACCAAUACACUAUAUAAGCUAAGGAAUAUAUGCAUAUUUUCCUCCAUCAUCUAAUCUAAAUCAUCUUUACAAUCACUGGCCAUCAAAAUGAGAACUGUUACCAGCAAGAUCAUUCUACUUUUUCUGAUGGCAUUCUUUUGCCAUAUUGUUUCUGGGAGAAAUAUUGGAACCAACAACCUACAGAUCAAAGGAUUUCAGGUUUCCUCAGAUGUCGUCGAUCUAGAAGUUUCUGCUAAACCAACUCUAAUUACAUCGUCGACGUCAAAUACUGUCUUACACACUGAAGUUGCCGAUAGAUCAAAUGAUCGCAUUGCCUCUCAUCGAUUCUUAGACGAGGAUAUAUCCAGACUAGUACCGAGUGGAUCAAAUCCAAUACAUAAUGAUGAUCCUCCUAAUGUACUUCUCAAAUAUUAAAUAAAAUGAAAUUACAAUAAGCAGAAUUGAAGAGAAUCAAUUUACAUAUCAGAUAUGAAUAGAUCUUUAUUUAUAUAGGUAUAAAUUUAAAUUUAAAUGAAUAGAAAUGACCAAUCCCUUCCGACAAUCACCAUGUACUUAUAUAGAUCCAAACAAUCAAGACUAAAAGUUUUUUUUUUUUUGAAGCAAUUAAAUUUCAUUAGAAUAAGGCUGAUGCCAAGUUUACAAAAAUAGAGAAUAAAAAUAAAAAUAAAAGUAAAAAGAAAUGAGCAAAAAGUUCAUUGACUCUUUCCCAUUAGUUAUACAGUAACUAGAUACGCUGCCUCAGGAGGUUGGUCUCUCAUACUUCCAUCAUAGAUGUCUCCAAAGGGUGACAACAACUUUUCUUGUAAUACACUGAAUCAAAGGAGAUACUGAUGUCUUUAAUGACCUCCUUAAGGACUACCUUAGGAGGCCUACUAGUGUGCUGUCUAUAUCUCUUAUUUCUCUCCGUCCAUAUAUGCCACGAAGACUGGAAGUAUUGAUUUGGUUUCUUAUGGGUAUGUUUUAUAUUCUUUCCCCUGUUUCCUACCGUGUAUCUAUUAGAGUUAAUCAAAACUUUAAUUGAAAUAAAAUGAAUGACUAAUUUCAUUAACCUUGUAAGGAAGUGAAACAAGAGUAUUUAAAAGAAAAAUACAAACUCCAAGCUUUAACAAAACAAAUGGUUUAACUAGAUUACAACUAACUAAUCUUUAGUAAACCAAUCAAUGUCUAAACCAUUGUAUACCCUGCUUGUAAUGACUUGUUUGGUCUUAAUGUUUUUUCUCUAUCCUUCUUUCUGAUCAUGUAUGCAAUGAUUGCAGAUUUGUGCAGUCGCUGAUUUGGGUUUUGAAUGAAAUUCAAUUUGAUUUAUUCUCUCUUUCAUUUAGUUCAGACAAUCCUACAUGUGAUGUUUUAUCGUGCAAUUCAUCCUCUACCAUCGAUAUUUUAUCGUUCACUUCAUUUUUCGUACUGUUAGUUGUUAAAAUUGUUAUACAUGUUGCAAACUGUUCUUUGUAUAUUAUAACGAUACCAAAAUAAGAAUAAAUUACUACAUACCUAAACGUAGUGUUGGUUUAUAAUUCUCCAACAACCUCAAUUUGGUUGUGCGUCUGGAUAUUUGCAAGUUCUAUAAUUCAAUCUGAUAUAAGAAGAAUAUUUGACAAUCAAUAAAGAAUCAAUGAAACUAGUGCCAUUUUAAAAAAGGAUGUUAAUAUGCUAUCUUUUGAACAAAGACUUUGGUAGAAUUAAAACACACUAAGACAAUGAACAUCGCAAAUUUAAAAGAAUUUAAACAAUUAAAACCUAUCAGUGAUAUAAUAAGGGAUCUUUAUGUAAUUAGUUUUAAUAACUUUUAUAACUACUUUAAGCUAGGAUAUAAUUCUAGAACUUUCUAAGUGGAUAAGACUUAACAGAAACGGUUAUAAUUCUGUUAAGUCUCAAUCCUCCUAAAUUGUAUAUAAAGGAAUGAAUAUCAUUUUAGGAGGGAUCGAACAUUUGUUCUCCUCCAUUUCCUAAUCGCAUUCUGAUUAUAACAACAAUAAAACCGUCACACAGUUUCACACAUAGUUUCAUAUCAUUUGUAAUAUAAAAACGUCUCAGGAGCUACUUGGGAUCUACUCUGCAGCUACUUGGGGACAAGUUAGGUACCAAUGAUAUGACAAGUUAGGUAUCAACUUAACAACUUAAACCAAGGAAUCUCUGGGAUCAUUCUGAGAUAAUCUUAAUGAUAUUAUCAAGAAACAAACCUCAAUGAAAGAGUGGAUACAAGAGAUUGAUGUUGAUUGGGUAGUUCAAUUCCUCAUGGAAUUGAAUGAAGAAUAUAGGACUGUAUGUAGCCAGAUCCUAUAAACUAAGCCUUUUUAAUGCAGUAGAAGAUUCUGCCAUUAUUAAUUACACAAAUAAUGGCAAUAAUAUAUUCUAUGGACAGAAUUGUGAUUAAGGGGAUUUUAAUUGGCUUGACCUUGGUCAAGCCAACCCAUAUUCCUCUUAAGGAAACAUCACACUCACAUCAAAUGGGUUGCCCAUUACCUUUGAUGUGAGUAUAAAUAUAGUGGGCCCAAGAAGGGGAAGAUCAAUUAUCGAAUUAUUGCAAUUACCAAAGGUAAACUCUUUCCUUUCUUCCCUGUUUUUCUCCUUCCUCGUUUUUUCCUGCAAACAGUUUUCUUUCUACUCUAGAUCUAGAACCUUGGUGGAUUCCAAGCUUCUUUCUUUUUUCCCUAAUCGAAGAAGGAUAAACCCUAUUCUUUUUCUCUGUUUUAAUCACUCAGAAUCUUGUCCUACAUCAUUUUUCCAUCUCUGAAUGAAGCAUAUUCCACUGUUGUGACAAAACAGAAGCAAGUUAGAAAUAUCAGUACACGAUUGGGAGAAAAUUCUAACAUAAAUGCUUUAG